Molecule: long non-coding RNA, 546 nt
Organism: Salvia miltiorrhiza (redroot sage)
Lineage: Eukaryota; Viridiplantae; Streptophyta; Magnoliopsida; Lamiales; Lamiaceae
Exons: 3
Source: RefSeq, a predicted model, not a curated record
GCUAGUAGUAGAUAUAAGGACAGGGGGAAAAAAAAUUGUCGAUGGGUCUGUGGAAGCUGAAGGUAGCGCACCUGUGAAUGAAGCUAGGGUGAAGGGGAACGCCAAAAAUGUUGCAAGCAUCAAAAUGGGUGCCGUGAGUUCCAGCCAAGCAAGAUUAAUGGAAGCUUCGAAAUGACACAGGUAUUUACAUGAUGAGGUACCUGGAGACGGUCAUGGGCGAGUCUUCGUCGUUGUGGACAUGUGGUUUGGCUCAAAAGUUAAGAAAACAACUUAACCUUUUGCGAGUGCGUUACUGUGCAUCUCUUAUUGAUUGGGAUAAGAACAGUAUUCACAUUGCAAUGGAGGAAAGUGCAAAAGCGAGUUUCGAUGCAGGGUUCAAGGAUCCGACAUUUAACCUCGACGUUGCGUGGCUUGGGAAGUGAUGUUAUUUAGCAACUGUUCCAGGCUAUGAAUAUUGAAGUUUUACUUAUAUUUUUGCGUACCCUUUUGGCAGUAUAAUUCAUGUACCUUUUUGGCAUAGACAUUAUUGAUACUCGGAUUUUUAUU